This 731-nucleotide ribosomal RNA is filed under the name uncultured bacterium. Its description in RNAcentral is "bacterial SSU rRNA". It matches the Rfam family "Bacterial small subunit ribosomal RNA", at positions 110 to 828 of the family's 1533-position model. The record is from RNAcentral.
GUAACACGUGGGUAACCUACCUUAAAGUGGGGCAUUACAAUUGGAAACAGGUGCUAAUACCGCAUAACCAUCAAAACCGCCUGGUUUUGAUGUUAAAGAUGGUUCUGCUAUCCCUUUAAGAUGGACCCGCGGCGUAUUAGCUAGUUGGUGAGGUAACGGCUUACCAAGGCAAUGAUACGUAGCCGAACUGAGAGGUUGAUCGGCCACAUUGGGACUGAGACACGGCCCAAACUCCUACGGGAGGCAGCAGUAGGGAAUCUUCCACAAUGGACGAAAGUCUGAUGGAGCAACGCCGCGUGAGUGAAGAAGGUUUUCGGAUCGUAAAACUCUGUUGUCAGAGAAGAACGUGUGUGAGAGUAACUGUUCACGCAGUGACGGUAUCUGACCAGAAAGUCACGGCUAACUACGUGCCAGCAGCCGCGGUAAUACGUAGGUGGCAAGCGUUGUCCGGAUUUAUUGGGCGUAAAGGGAACGCAGGCGGUCUUUUAAGUCUGAUGUGAAAGCCUUCGGCUUAACCGAAGUCGGGCAUUGGAAACUGGGAGACUUGAGUGCAGAAGAGGAGAGUGGAACUCCAUGUGUAGCGGUGAAAUGCGUAGAUAUAUGGAAGAACACCAGUGGCGAAAGCGGCUCUCUGGUCUGUAACUGACGCUGAGGUUCGAAAGCGUGGGUAGCAAACAGGAUUAGAUACCCUGGUAGUCCACGCCGUAAACGAUGAAUGCUAAGUGUUGGAG